ACCAUGCAUUGUAGUAGAUGGUUGCCUAGCUUGGUCAGAUAAUAAAAAGAACAGAAUGUCAAAAUAAAAAAAUGAAACAAGGGAGCCACCGCACACAACAGGUUUGGUGACUGGUUUUUCCAACAAAAAAUAUGAAUCUUAUACAAAAUUGAAAAUAAUGUCAGAGACAACAACCCAACCAAAGAGCAGAAAACAGCCGAAGGCCACUAAUGGCUCUUCAACUCACCAGAAAAUUCAGCAUCAGGAGGCAGGC
RNAcentral lists this long non-coding RNA (253 nucleotides) under Mytilus galloprovincialis (Mediterranean mussel). The record is from RNAcentral. Lineage: Eukaryota; Metazoa; Mollusca; Bivalvia; Mytilida; Mytilidae.